GCCGGCAAUACUUUGAAUGUGGCCGUAUACGGAUUAAAUCCCAUGUUAUUUUCAAUGACCUCGUAGCUUAGACACCGUUCAACUGGAUUUAUCAUGAUGAGCUUCUCUUUGGCCCAGUUGAUGAUGUUCCCACCUGUGCCGUCGGAGGAUGGUUUUGGCUUGGAAGCGCAGUAGCGGACGAGGCCCGGCUUGCCCGGCUCGCCCUCCACUUGGUAACACGUUUCAAUGCUUGGGAACCAUUUGUUAAUAUUUUA
This 254-nucleotide unclassified non-coding RNA is filed under the name Hevea brasiliensis (rubber tree). Lineage: Eukaryota; Viridiplantae; Streptophyta; Magnoliopsida; Malpighiales; Euphorbiaceae. The record is from RNAcentral.